Molecule: transfer RNA, 73 nt
Filed under: Klebsiella aerogenes
Lineage: Bacteria; Pseudomonadati; Pseudomonadota; Gammaproteobacteria; Enterobacterales; Enterobacteriaceae
Also listed under: 4 other names
Description: tRNA-Phe
Rfam family: tRNA
About the family: Transfer RNA (tRNA) molecules are approximately 80 nucleotides in length.
Source: RNAcentral
GCCCGGAUAGCUCAGUCGGUAGAGCAGGGGAUUGAAAAUCCCCGUGUCCUUGGUUCGAUUCCGAGUCCGGGCC